Molecule: long non-coding RNA, 2253 nt
Organism: Phacochoerus africanus (Common warthog)
Lineage: Eukaryota; Metazoa; Chordata; Mammalia; Artiodactyla; Suidae
Exons: 3
Source: RefSeq, a predicted model, not a curated record
UGAAAUUUGGGGAUUAUCUGCGGUUUCCUGAUGAUCUGUUCACUAUAGCUUUGGACAGCUGAUGUGUGGCUCAACUGAAGCGUGUUCUGGAAGAGGGCUGGGGCCCAUGGAGACAGCAGGCAGUGCCUAGCCAGGGCGCCUGUCUGAGAGCUGCCCAGGGUGGCCCCAUCUGGGCUGCUGCCAGGCCCCCAGUCCUACCAGCUCUGCCAGGUGGGUGGGGCCCCUCGGAGGCAGAAGAGGGCGGCCUGACACAAGCCCACACAGUGACUCAGGGGCUGGGCCCCGGGGCUUCUGGGGUCUGGCCAGGUGAACCACCAUGGGAGGUCAUGGGCGGUGGGGGAGGGGCUGUAUGUGUUUAUGUCUGUCUGUGAGUGUGUUUGGGCUGCUCUCCAGGCAGGGCCCCUUUCCUGGCCGCCUGGCCUGCACUGUACCACCACCAGGCCUGGUGGAACUCCUCCCAGCUUUGGUCCCUCCUCGCUGAGGCCUCUGACUGUUGAUGCUGCUUGGAGCUCUGCUGCCUUCAUGCCCUUGGCCUGUGCUUUCAAACUUUUCCCCACAGCACCCCUUAUCUCAGUCACCCACGGUGCCCUGCAGGCCUUCAGAUGCCACAAGCAAGACUUAAACCCCACUGUGUGGCAAGCUUCUGCCCCUCUCUUCUCUCUGACCCUUGUGGGUGGAUGGCUCAGUUCAGCUGCCUGUGGUGCUGGGGAGUGGAUUCUGGUUGGCUGGUCCAGAGCCCAGGGACCCUUCUCCGGCUGUUCUGUCCCAUUGUUCAGGGAGCAGUCUCUCUGCAGUUCCCCAAGGCCACCCUGGUGAGGCGGGAAUGAGCCUGGCAUGGCCUGUUACCUCCUUGGCGUGGCCGCAUGGUUCUGGGCUCACUUACAGCCUCGGAGAGGCUUCUGGAGAGAGCUGUGGCAGAGAGGGGAUUCCACUGGAUCACCCUCAGGGGGCGUGAGGCCGGCUGCUGACACCCCUGGGCGAGGUGGCUGAGAUGUGGCAUGGCACAGACCAUAGCUCCCAGUAGUUGCAGUCUCCAUGCAGCGGUUGGCCACCCCUCCAGGGGAGGGGUAUGUAGGUGCAUCGCCUUGGGCAGCUGCUGCUGCUGGCAAGGGACGUUCAGGGCAGCAGCAUGGCUUUGCUCUUUCUCUGUCCCCACACCAGGUCCCAGAAGUCUGUUGGUCUGGGUUGGGGGAGAGGGAAUGUGGGUGAGCUGGUGACAGUUGCAAAGAGCCUUGUCCUGGAAAGCUGAAGCAAAUGAACUUGCUGUUAAUUGCAGACCCUUGAUCAACCAAACCACUUGCUGUUCUGUGCUCUGGUUUCCUUCUUCGCCUGGAGGAACGUUGGCCACUGUCCGGUCCCCCCACAUGGUCAGGGUCAGGCGACAAAAAGGCAAUCUAAGACAGAGCUGAGCUCUUUCCUCCAGAGAUCUUUAAUCUCGAGGUGGAAGUGGGAUCCAGGCAAGAGGAGAACGAAGGAAACACAGAAGACGUACAAGCAGGUGAAAGGAGCGCCUAUGGGAGGAGCAGGAGGGGCCGCUCUUAGUACCCGCAGAGCUACCCGGAUGACUCCACACAUCCAUGGAAUUGACUCACUUUCGGUACCCACAGCACCGAAAGUGGGGCCUCAAGCACACUUAACACCGAGCGGCAUCUGAGUGAACGCACAGGGUAUUCGUGAAUCGUGCCAAGCGUGCCGGGGAAGUGGCCCCAGGAAGAAAGGCAGGAGGAGCGGCCUGGGAAGGCAGGACCUCAUAAACCAGAGUCACGUAGCUCCAUGUCCCCUUCCAAGGCCCCUGCUGUGAUCCUGGGGGUCCUGUAUCUGAUGGAAGGGCUCCUCUCAGAAGCAUGUGGGGUUGGCGGGAAUCAUGCCCCAAUUUGUCUGGCAGAACUCGCUGGUGGGAGAGCAGUGAGCUGGGUCACUCAGCGAUGGACCAGCUAAUCCAACUCCUUGUCUUGAUGAUGGAGCAACUGAGGCCCAAGGAUAUGAAGUGGCUUGUCCAAGGUCACACCAUGAGAGUUUGGACGUCAAAAUCUCCCAUUUGCUGACCCCCUGAAUGUCGUCCUGGGGUCGCAGGACAACGAGGAAGCCUCAAGAGGGUUUUGGUCCCUGGCUCUGAGCAAUGCCACCCACUUCCACCUCAACCCCCAACACAGCCAUACAGACUCAACAAGAAUACUUUUAUGCUCGCUGGGCGUCCUCUCGCAUCACAGUGAAUUAAGGAUCUGGCGUUGUCACUGCUGCUGUUAGGCCACU